AUGGUAGGCAACGGGAGCACCGGCAACAGUAUGCUUCAAAAAAAUAGUGUGGGCAAAGUGAUUUGUGUAUCGAAGGGAUAUCACCAGCCAAUCACGCUUUUAGCAACAUCAAAAUCGAAGUUAGGAAAUUUCACUGGUUCUUUCUUUGUCGGAGAGAGUAAGAUGAGAGUUGUGAUAAGAUAUGGAGCCUCGGGAAGGAAAAAUCAUAUGCAGUUGUGGGAAAUACGUGUAUGUCGCCAAUGGGAUUUGCCUUUCACCAGUUCACAAACUUCUUUGACCUUCUCGAACUGGUCAGGCGUCGGCCUUUAUACAUGGUAUUACGACUUUGAGUAG
This 333-nucleotide ribosomal RNA is filed under the name Triticum aestivum (bread wheat). RNAcentral's name for it is "partial small subunit ribosomal RNA". The record is from RNAcentral. Lineage: Eukaryota; Viridiplantae; Streptophyta; Magnoliopsida; Poales; Poaceae.